CUCCUCUAACCUCAUCCUUCGGCUCCAUCUCUUUCGAGCACGUCCUCUUCCUAUGUCCUUCGACCUCACUGGUCUUCCACCUCCACCCUCCUUCGACCUCAUCCUCUGGCUCCAUCUCUUCUGAGUUUCUCUUCCUUCUAUCUCCUUCACCGGCCACAACUAUAAUCUCCAUUUAUUCCGUUUAAUUUCUUCUUUUUCUAGCGGUUGUCUGCCAUUCCGUUAACUUUCUCAAAGUUUUGCGUUUGCAUAAGUCGGAUUUCCUCAGCCAUAGAUAUUUCGUCGCCGGCAACUCUGCUUAUUAAUCUCUGCUUCUUCGGUUUAAUUUCUCGCGGUUCAUCGUAGUCCUUAAAUGGAGGCGGAGGAAAUGGGAGGAGGCGGAGAUGGUGAGCACCGGAUGCAAGGAUGAGAGGGAUUGACGGAGAUGGUGAGGGCGUAGGAUUAGGCGUGAGAUGCAGAGAGUGAUUGAGAACACAUGGAGUGUAGGAUGAGAAGCAGAGAGAGAUAAUCAUAAAAUGCACAUGAUAUACACAU
Long non-coding RNA from Ipomoea triloba (trilobed morning glory), 531 nucleotides. RefSeq lists it as uncharacterized. The record is from RefSeq and is a predicted model, not a curated record. The transcript is spliced from 3 exons. Lineage: Eukaryota; Viridiplantae; Streptophyta; Magnoliopsida; Solanales; Convolvulaceae.